This 253-nucleotide ribosomal RNA is filed under the name uncultured bacterium. Its description in RNAcentral is "partial 16S ribosomal RNA". It matches the Rfam family "Bacterial small subunit ribosomal RNA", at positions 524 to 776 of the family's 1533-position model. The record is from RNAcentral.
UACGUAGGUGGCAAGCGUUGUCCGGAUUUAUUGGGUUUAAAGGGUGCGUAGGCGGCUUUAUAAGUCAGUGGUGAAAUCUCCCGGCUUAACCGGGAGGGUGGCAUUGAUACUGCAGAGCUUGAGUGAAGUCGAGGUAGGCGGAAUUGACGGUGUAGCGGUGAAAUGCUUAGAUAUCGUCAAGAACACCGAUAGUGAAGACAGCUUACUAGACUUCAACUGACGCUGAGGCACGAAAGUGUGGGGAUCAAACAGG